Small nucleolar RNA from Engraulis encrasicolus (European anchovy), 139 nucleotides. RefSeq annotates it as small nucleolar RNA SNORA84. Lineage: Eukaryota; Metazoa; Chordata; Actinopteri; Clupeiformes; Engraulidae. The record is from RefSeq and is a predicted model, not a curated record. The transcript has a single exon.
GCCCUGUGGUUCCCUGCGACGGCUGACCAGUGCCGAUCUGUGGGGUUGUUAUUGACGGGCGCACAGUGAACUCUGCGAUUUAAUGCAUGGUGUCUGCCUUCCCCCGUGCAGCCCCCAUAGCCCGGUUUCAGAGACAUUU